Magallana angulata is the source of this 1392-nucleotide long non-coding RNA. RefSeq lists it as uncharacterized. Lineage: Eukaryota; Metazoa; Mollusca; Bivalvia; Ostreida; Ostreidae. The record is from RefSeq and is a predicted model, not a curated record. The transcript has 2 exons.
GAAUAACACGUUGCUGAUGGUCCUCCUUGGGUCAGGUUCUACGCUUCUUUCCUCAUCUCGAUGAUUGGUACUUAAAGUGGCUGUAGAAAUUAAACACAAUAUAGCCGUGUUUCAUUUUUUAAGAUAUCAACUAAACCGUAAGGAAGAAGUGAUGUAAGCUUGAUGUAGUACAAAUAAUGUGCCAAUGUACAUGUACCUCAUUAAAAGUGACUUUUGUAUGAUUUCGUUCUUUGAUUUAAACUAACUUAGAUUAUCUUUCAUGUGCAUUUUUCAUAUCAACUCUUCUCUUUUUCCUUGUCUGCGAUUAGUGAAUGAUUUUAUUAUUGCAUUUGACUGAACAAACAAACUCUUCAAACACACUACACAAAUAAACCGUGGAGUUUAAAAUCUAAACACAUAACAAUUAUCUGUCUUUGUGAUCCGAACGAAUGAACCCAAUCGUUUACGAAAGUUGAGUAUUGAAUCCAUGAUCAGUCUGCAAAAUGUACGGGCAAGUCUACUUGAUGUUGAGAUGUUUUUAAGACGUUUUGUGUGAACAUUCGUCAUUCAUUGGUACUAAGUAGAAAUGCACGCAUUUAUUUUUGAAAUGGCUGUCACAAGACAUUGAUAUUGAUCUAUGCAAAAAUGACCCAGCGGAAGAACAAAGUCCAACAUAUUGCAGCUGAUAAACAACGUCCACUUGCCGGAUCAUUUGUGUUCUGGGGGAAUCCACAUAGUUUCAAAGAAUUUUCCAAUGUACAAGACUUGUUACCCGAGGUACAUGUAGUUCCAGUUUCAAAUAAAACUGAUUCAAAAAGAGAAGGGAGGUCAUACGGAAUUGGUCCAAACCACCAAAUUCAUUUCUACGAUUACGUUCAUGAGGCAAAGUACCAUAGCUACGAGAAAAUACAUUGUUAUCAACCAAUUAGCAAAGACUACGUAUUACGUGACUACACAUUGUGUCACGAGUACAAGCGAGUUCACGAAUACGAUGAUCCUUGGGAAUACUUGGAUUAUGUUGACUACAGACCAAAUUUAAAGAGAUGUAGGUGUAAACCGAAAGGCAGUACGUAUCUUAAGGUCAAACCAAAAGCUAAAUGAUUCCCAAGAUUACGUACAAUCCGCGGGUAAUGUUUUCAAAAUGAUAGAGAGAAUGGCCGGAUACCAAGUCGCAGGAAAGAUAACUCUAGUCACUUUGUAUUGUCAAGUUGGUGUGCAUCGAAUUCCACGUACAGAAAUAAUGGACCAUAACAAACACAACUUUACCGAUUUUUAAAAAAAAUUAUCUAGAAUAAUUAUAUUAUUUACGAAACAUCCAACUGUUCAAGAUAUGUAACUUGUUCAACUAUAAGCUUGUUGAAGAGAAAAUUAAUACAUGGCUUUUGAAUAAAAUCAAAUGAGAAAAACGCUUAA